UGGUGUAGCUCAAUUGGCAGAGCAGCUGAUUUGUAAUCAGCAGGUUGCGGGUUCAAGUCCCAUCACC
RNAcentral lists this transfer RNA (67 nucleotides) under Lawsonia intracellularis. It matches the Rfam family "tRNA". From Rfam's summary of the family: Transfer RNA (tRNA) molecules are approximately 80 nucleotides in length. Their secondary structure includes four short double-helical elements and three loops (D, anti-codon, and T loops). Lineage: Bacteria; Pseudomonadati; Thermodesulfobacteriota; Desulfovibrionia; Desulfovibrionales; Desulfovibrionaceae. RNAcentral also lists the same sequence under 5 other names. The record is from RNAcentral.